Molecule: ribosomal RNA, 406 nt
Filed under: uncultured Cellulomonas sp.
Lineage: Bacteria; Bacillati; Actinomycetota; Actinomycetes; Micrococcales; Cellulomonadaceae
Description: bacterial SSU rRNA
Rfam family: Bacterial small subunit ribosomal RNA
Source: RNAcentral
GGGGAAUAUUGCACAAUGGGCGCAAGCCUGAUGCAGCGACGCCGCGUGAGGGAUGAAGGCCUUCGGGUUGUAAACCUCUUUCAGCAGGGAAGAAGCGCAAGUGACGGUACCUGCAGAAGAAGCGCCGGCUAACUACGUGCCAGCAGCCGCGGUAAUACGUAGGGCGCAAGCGUUGUCCGGAAUUAUUGGGCGUAAAGAGCUCGUAGGCGGUUUGUCGCGUCUGCUGUGAAAACUCGAGGCUCAACCUCGGGCUUGCAGUGGGUACGGGCAGACUAGAGUGCGGUAGGGGAGACUGGAAUUCCUGGUGUAGCGGUGGAAUGCGCAGAUAUCAGGAGGAACACCGAUGGCGAAGGCAGGUCUCUGGGCCGCAACUGACGCUGAGGAGCGAAAGCAUGGGGAGCGAACA